Molecule: non-coding RNA, 5343 nt
Organism: Rattus norvegicus (Norway rat)
Lineage: Eukaryota; Metazoa; Chordata; Mammalia; Rodentia; Muridae
Source: RefSeq, a predicted model, not a curated record
CAUCCAUCCAUCCAUCCAUCUAUCUAUCUAUCUAUCUAUCUAUCUAUCUAUCUAUCUGGCAUGUGAGUAUGAGGAAGGUCUGAGGGCAACGGUCGGGAGCUGGGUCUCUUCCCACCUUGCUGAGGCAGGCUUUCUCAUGUUCCUGCCAUCCUUGCACUCUAGGCUUAUAGCUGCCAUCUCUUAGGGGUGCUGGGAUCACACACGCAUGCCACUGUAUCAGGCUUUUUUUUUUUUUUUUUCUGGUUCUUUUUUUCGGAGCUGGGGACCGAACCCAGGGCCUUGCGCUUCCUAGGCAAGCGCUCUACCACUGAGCUAAAUCCCCAACCCCUGUAUCAGGCUUUUUUAUGUGAGUCCCUGGGACCAAAUUCCAGUGCUUGGACUUGUGCUGCAGGCCUCUUACCUGUGGAGGCAUCUGGACACCCCUUUGCCUUUACUUUAAACGCCACACUUAAAAGCCUGUUAAGUGGCAUGGGCGGGCCCUUCUGGUCUGGCUGCAGGGGGAUUAAACAGAGAAGUACUUGGAAGAGCUUAACACUGGGCUUGGCCUGCAUCCGUGGCCUUGAGCGCUUGCUGAAUUGGCAGCAACGGAUUUGUGAGGGCGAACUUGGGACAGGGCCACCAAAUUAGACCCUGAGCUCCUGGGGCUGUGCUACCAGUAGCCACAAAACAGUUUGGCUAUGCUGGAGACGCCAGUCUCCGUGGCGUGAGGAUGGGGCUGGCUGCCCGCCUGGCCCAGAAGCCAGCAGAGGUCCAGCUGUUGCAUCAUUAGGCUCUGACUAUUCCACUAAACUUUCUCAACUGGAGCUGGUGUGCAGGGCAGAGCAGCCUUUCCCAGGGAGCAUGCAGGAGAGUGCCAGCGUCUCCAUGGCAACACAGCCAAGUGGCUCUGCUGAAGUUCCUCAGGCUUCCUGUGUCACAUCAGGAGCAUUUUUCAAGAUUAAGCGCUUACCAGAAGGGUUCAGAGGAGGCCUAUUAUAUUUCAUAAAAAUGGAAACGACAGAGCAGGUUGGAUCGCCAGCCGGGUGGUUUUAAACUGGGUCCAAGAAAAACACUGAAGGGGUCUUUAGCUGGGCCAAACUAGGGCCGUGGUGUUUAGUGAUGCCUCAGAGCAAUCUUCUGCAGGAAGGAUAAAAGCCAGAAACAAGUUUAGUGACCCGGCGCGAGGCUCAGGCUUGCAUAGCUGAGAGAGGGGUGAAGGGUGUCCUGAGGACCGGGCACCAAUGGAAGGGUGUCUCCAGGAGGGGAUGUAGCCCAGUGCGAGGCCCUGGCUGUGGCAGGGACCUCUCAGGGUCUGGCUACUGGCCUCUGCUCUUGGCUGGCUCACCCAGUCCCUGUGCCAUUCAGGAAGGCUCAGGGCUCAACCUGGGCAGAGAACAUAGGCAGAGGCACAGGCUGUCCGUGACAGCAGAGUGUGCAGUGUGCAGUGUGCACAGAAUAUGGCAAUGACAGGGGACUAUGGCCAACUCCAUCACCAUGAGGAAAAAACCAAGGUCACAUGUGGUGGCACUAUACCAGGAAGGUAUAGCAUGGAGUUCUCUGAGUCUGGUGGCAGUCUGAUCUGUGUAGUUAGUGCCAAGCUGGCCAGAGCUAUGUGACUUGAGGAGAAUCAUUAAGCCUGGGUGGCACAUGCUUUAAUCUUAGCUCUCAGGAGGCAGAGGCAGGUGGAUCUCUGUAAGGAGAGGGCCGGGUUGGUGCACAAAGCUAGUUCCAGGCCAGCAGGGCUGCAUCGUGAGACCUCGUCUCAAACAAACAGCUACACGUAGCUGAGGGCAGCUCGUGUGCCCAGAAGCUGAAGGAUUUCAGGUUGGGAUGGGAGAGGAGGAGAGGAGGAUCAUGCAUAAACUUACACUUUCUGGGAUGCAGGAAAACUUCUCUGAAAUCAUAAAAGGCACACCGUCCAUUGCUGCAAGAGAAGAGAGGAGAGGGAGGCGCUGAAGACACUGCUGCUGACCAAGAAGCUAAGACAUCAGUACAGAGAGCACUGGUGGGCUGGAGGCAGGUGCUACCCAGCUCGAGCGUCUGGGAGCUGCAGAGUGGGACAGGGUGACAUCCUGACCCAGGGACGCAGACUGCCUGUGUGGUGCCUCUGUGUGUAGGCAGUCAGUCAGGGGCGUAGCCCAGGGCUGGCACGGAAGCCCUUUCCUGCUCGGGUCUAGGAGUCUGACCUAUAUCGUAAAUGGUCGAGCCACAGAUCCCGAGUGGUGUUUGGUGCUCAUCCAUCUCCAUGGAAAGACAAGGAGUUUGGCGGUCAGGUGGCCAUGCCUGAGUCCUGGCUGGGCUUGCAGUGAGCACAUGAAGGCAUGGACAAAAGAAGCUUGGCUAAUGGCUGGGAGGUGUGCUCUGAGUCUUCAGGGAACGUGCCCUGGGCCUGAAGAGUGGGCUCAGUGUGUGUGUGGGCGGGGAGGGGGUAGGCUGUGACAUAUGCUCAGUUACUCAUUCUCUGUCAUGGCUUCAGGGCUGAAUUAAGACUUGCCCUGUGUGCUUACUUUCCACAUGAGAAAGGAUGAGGAACAAGCAGCCUGUGAGUGAGAAGGGCAGGGACUGGGAAGCCCUUUCUGUCCUGUACCACACCCUCCGAAAUCUACUUGUGUUUAGAUCUCCACAGCUAAACUGGUAGCAAUAUUGCCACAGAGGAGGAACAUGUGAUGUCGGCCCUCACAGUGUUACCUGUGAACUGAGAAUUAGGCCGGCUGCUGACUGAGCUGAGGCAAAAUUCAGCCGACAGACCUGGCCCUUAGUGUAGGGACCUGUGGCCUGCAGUAAGAGGUGGUUUUGGCAGACCGUGAUUUUGGAAUGGACAUUGUGCCUCUCCCUAAAUGUUUCCUAAAAUGAAGACUUCCUUGGUAUUCAAAUGCUGGGGGCAGCUUUCGGGGCCAAGGAAGAGGAGAGCAGAAGUGGAAAAAAGGAAGGGAUAAAAUCCGGUCUGGUGUCUGCUGUGAUAGGCCACACAGUGUGGGUUAGGCUGUGUCUGUAAUGACCCAUAAUUACUGCAGAGAAGUGGGCUAGACUGCACCUCAAGCCCCCUUCCUCUCUGCAGGCCACUUCCUGUGAACUUUUCAGGUUCAACAAACACCUGUGUCAGGGGCAUUUCCCACUGCAGCUGGACCCCCAGAGCCCAGAAGAGAAGGCUAAUGUCACAUGCUGUGUUCGACAUUAACCGAGAAAGGAGGGAGAAUGUCCCAAAUAGUUUUAUGGGCCUAUAUUCCAACAUCCGAGCACCACCUGAGAACCUGCCACAACAGACAGAGUACCACAGAUAGUACCACAGGCUUGUCAGAGAGGGAGGGAGGCAGGAUCCAUCAGCAUGCAGGGAGAGGCCACACCAGCUCCUGCCACUGACCAUCCAAUGUGAGCUCUAAGCUUCUGUUCACUCACAUGGCUCUCGUGUGCUUUGACCUCAAAUGCUUGCAGGGCCUCAUGUCAUUUCUGAUCACUUUGAGGUGACCAAGCAGAGCUCCAGAGUUUGGAGCCUCCUGGGGUCAGGUGGGCAGGAGGCAGUGACUUGGAAGCUUGGGCUCACGAGGCUUGGACAUGGACCACAGAAUUUCACCUGCACGCGGGUAAGGGAGCAUGCAGAGCGAGCGGAGCUUCUCCUUACCCACUUCUACAGUGAAAUUCUCACCUGCAGCCUUGUGGGAGCUCUGCGGCCUACUGGCUCACAGAGGGGAGAGUAUGUCAUGUUGUAAGGAACAUAAGACUACAGGGUGGUGGCCACCAGGAUGGUGUUAGUGGCAGAUAUGCUCCUGUCUGCACUGGCGGCAGAGAUGGGAGCCCCUUGUGUCCAGUCCUGACUGCAAGGAGUCAUUUGGUAAAGUGACUGAGGGGACUUACCAUAGGAGGCUGAGAAGUCUCACACAGCUCACUCACGUGCACUACAGGACAGAUCUUAGCCAUCUGGUAGAGUCAACAGGGAAGAGGCCCAAGAGGAUCAGCACAGGUCACACUGAUGUGACCUCCAGGUCAUACUAACUGACCAAAUUUCAUUGUAAAAAUCUAGUGUGUGUGUGUGUGUGUAUGUGUGUGUGUGUGUGUGGUGAGGGGUAGGGGGCUGGAGAGAUGGCUCAGAGGUUAAGAGCGCUGGCUUCUCUUGCAGAGGACACUGUUCCACUGCAAUACGAUAGCCCACAACUAUCUUUAACUCCGGUUCCAGAGGACCGGCACCCUCUUCUGGCUUCGAGGAAUACUGUAUGUAUGUGGUACAAAGACAGGCAUGCAGGUAAAACAUCCACACGCACAGAGGAGACAAACCCCUUCAAAAAUCUAGCAGAGGUGACUGAGAUGGCUCAGUGUGUAAAGGUGCGUGCUACACAAAUGUGACAACUUGAGUUUGAGCCCUGCAAUCGCACGAAGGCGGAAAGAGGGAAAUGACACCACAAAGUUGUCACCGGGCUUCCACAAGUGGCACACAUGCCCCACUUCCAUAUGACAAAGCCUAGGCACUGGAGAAGCAGACUAAGCAUGAAGUGGGUCAGGACAUCACCUGACAUCUGAAAAGAAACCUAUGGGAUAGUUAACUGACGUGUCGGGGGAGACCUAGCAGGAAUGGUCAUUAACUGGCUAACGGCAGAAUCUGAUGAAGGGCUCAGAAUGCUGGCAUCUGGGCCACACCAGAGCAGGGAACUUGCCAGGGUCCAGCUGAACAGGUGAGUGCAUAGUAACAGUAGGGUACUGGAUCACCGCCGGUUGCACACAUCACUGUGACUUGACUACUGAACAGGAAAGGUGCCUCUCUCAAGGUCACGGUGCCACUUGGUCUGCUCUGAGCUUGAGAAUGACACCCAGUGCUAGCAUGGUAUUCUCCCAUGAUCAUCCUGAGAGCCUCGAUAGGACAUCAGGGGACCCUAAGUUAACUCCGUAAGGAAAUGGAGAGGCCGAGUCAGGGCUGCUGCCUCUGGAGGUGGGACCCUCCACCAACCCAGCACUGCAUUUGACACAUGGGAAACAGGCAGAAUGGGCGCUUCUGUCUAGAUGAGAGAAGGCCAGGGUGGGCGAAGGCCCGUAUCUGCUAGGAAGCCACAGCUAUAGGGAGAAGGGCUGCCCAGACACACGGUUCAGGGGGCCCCACAGAUACACUGGGCAGAGCCCACAGGCAGGGCUGUUUGCUUGCUGGGAGACUGGGUAGGGUCUCUGCUUUGCAGCGUAUAGCUGUAGGAGGUAAGGCCCUUUCUGAUUCAACAGCAUCCACUCCUAGGAGCCCUAACUGGACGGCCUUCCAUAUAUGACAAUAUUUGGAGGCCUGGCAAACAUAAUCCUUAAAAUGAUGGCACCCAUUUUUCAUGUGAACCCCAAGACUGCUCAUAAAUCAUCCCUGUCCUCCCUCUCCCGGGAGCCCUGCCCCCUCUC